RNAcentral lists this ribosomal RNA (427 nucleotides) under uncultured bacterium. Its description in RNAcentral is "partial 16S ribosomal RNA". It matches the Rfam family "Bacterial small subunit ribosomal RNA", at positions 355 to 774 of the family's 1533-position model. The record is from RNAcentral.
UGGGGAAUAUUGCACAAUGGGCGCAAGCCUGAUGCAGCCAUGCCGCGUGUAUGAAGAAGGCCUUCGGGUUGUAAAGUACUUUCAGCGAGGAGGAAGGCGUUGUGGUUAAUAACCGCAACGAUUGACGUUACUCGCAGAAGAAGCACCGGCUAACUCCGUGCCAGCAGCCGCGGUAAUACGGAGGGUGCAAGCGUUAAUCGGAAUUACUGGGCGUAAAGCGCACGCAGGAGGUCUGUCAAGUCGGAUGUGAAAUCCCCGGGCUCAACCUGGGAACUGCAUCCGAAACUGGCAGGCUAGAGUCUUGUAGAGGGGGGUAGAAUUCCAGGUGUAGCGGUGAAAUGCGUAGAGAUCUGGAGGAAUACCGGUGGCGAAGGCGGCCCCCUGGACAAAGACUGACGCUCAGGUGCGAAAGCGUGGGGAGCAAACA